Molecule: RNA transcript, 1267 nt
Organism: Leptinotarsa decemlineata (Colorado potato beetle)
Lineage: Eukaryota; Metazoa; Arthropoda; Insecta; Coleoptera; Chrysomelidae
Source: RefSeq, a predicted model, not a curated record
GUUCAUAGAUAAUGAACUGAUAACUUAUAGUCAGCUGAGAAUCGAUGUUAGUUGAACUCUAAAACAAGUAUUUUUUGAAACAAAACUUUGACAACAAGAUCUGCAGACAGUUUCACAUAAUUCAGAAUGGACGAGAGAGAGAAUAGAAUUGUGAAAGCUUGUGGAAUGAUAUGCGCACUAUACGAAAUGAACGUGGCAUGUCAAUUUUUGUUGUGUGGUCGACUUGUACUUUUUCUAUUAGCAUUAUUCUUGUGUAAAAUAGGGGAAGUUGUCAUCAUUACAAUCACUUUGGCGAUUGUUUCGUCCAUAGAAACGAAAUCAGCUAAAGAAUACAUUGAACAUCACUUGUCUACAGAAGAAAAGAAAAAAUUGGUUCUCUAUGUGGAGAGACAUUUCCUCGGGAGAGACCUCAGCGAUGAAGACAAUGGGUUGAUUGUGUUUACAGAAAGAGAGCUAUUCACAAUAGUUAAAAGAAUCGAAUAUUUCUUCAAUUACGAGCUGCAUUACACUGCUCGUUUCAAACGAAUUCAAUGAAAAUCUCAACCAAAGAAAUAUGACGCUUCAUUCUAGCAGCAGCCCUGAUAAUGAAAAUGAGAGUAAAAAUAAAAUGUGCUGGUGAUGUAUUAGAGAAUGAAAUGAAGGAGACUGAUGUAUUGCUAUUGAUGGAGUAUGUCGAAGAUCAUUUUGAAACUAUGGAAGCCAAUGGCAACAAAUGGUUUUUCAUUCAAGGAAUGAUAAAUGAGUUUUUGAAAGUCGCAAUGUUGGGAGGAAUUAUGACAUUCUUUCAAGAAAAAGGAUACGGUGUUUUUUUCGAUGAGGGUAGUCAGCAUCCGGAUGGUAUCCGCAGAUGAAAGGAAGGGAAAAUUAUGAACCUUUGAAUCAACAGUUCCAAGACUUGAAAAUAUUGUAUUUGAAAUUAUAUUCAAAAUAUUAUUCAAUUCAGUUUGGGAACAUAUUGGGCAAGAAAUAUAUUCAAUAUAUUUCUAUUCACAAAUUAGUUCUCUGUAAGUUUGUACCACGUAUACCGUAAGAAAUUCCGAGUACAUUCUGUAAUAGAAUGAUGAGUGUUUUCUGGUAUCCACUAUUGACUUUCAUCAAGAGCAUGCUGCUCAAGCUGGACAUGCUUUGAUUUUGUUCGUACCUACAUGUUUUAUAUUUAUUUUUGUGAUGUCUCUCAAUUUUAAGACACUGUGUCCUCUUUGACACAUAUUAAUUUUUAUCUAUUCUAUUUUGUAAAUUAGCAUGUAAUAAACAUAUAAAGUAACAA